AUGCUACAUUUUUGGAAAAUGACUCUGGAGCGGCUGCUACUGUCCUUGGGAAUAGUUGUGGUUAGGCUCUUGCAAGAGCAUCUUGGUUUUAAACAAUCUUUUGGACGCAACAACAACGGAGGCCACAACGAUUCAGAAAGGUUUAGAUCUUGUGGAAAGCCUUGGGUCCUCAACGAUUAUUAUUGGAUCUGGUUCUUUAGAAGUAAUUCAAGCUUGCAAUGGAGUGAUCGAGACCUGGAGCCCAUACACUGCAAUCUUAGCAGAUUGUUCCCAGAUGGCCUCCAGGAUUGGUGUGAUCACCUUCGUUCACUGUCCAAGGGAAGUACCAUCUUUUCCUUGCGCCGCCGUUUAUCGUGCCAUUUACAUCCCUACUCAACUUGUACUGGACAUGAACUGAACCAAACCAUGGUACCAGCCUGGACUCUUCGAAAGGAAGCGAGCUCAUGGCUCAACCUUGGGCAAGCCUUAGCAGUUAGCACGCAAAUCUGUCGAUCUCCAGCCAGGUAG
Molecule: ribosomal RNA, 507 nt
Filed under: Triticum aestivum (bread wheat)
Lineage: Eukaryota; Viridiplantae; Streptophyta; Magnoliopsida; Poales; Poaceae
Description: partial small subunit ribosomal RNA
Source: RNAcentral